RNAcentral lists this ribosomal RNA (253 nucleotides) under uncultured bacterium. Its description in RNAcentral is "partial 16S ribosomal RNA". It matches the Rfam family "Bacterial small subunit ribosomal RNA", at positions 524 to 776 of the family's 1533-position model. The record is from RNAcentral.
UACGGAGGGUGCAAGCGUUGUCCGGAAUCAUUGGGCGUAAAGAGUUCGUAGGUGGCAUGUUAAGUCUGGUGUUAAAGGCAGAAGCUCAACUUCUGUAAGGCACUGGAUACUGGCAAGCUUGAAUGCGGUAGAGGUAAAGGGAAUUCCUGGUGUAGCGGUGAAAUGCGUAGAUAUCAGGAGGAACAUCGGUGGCGUAAGCGCUUUACUGGGCCGUAAUUGACACUGAGGAACGAAAGCCGGGGUAGCAAAUGGG